This 329-nucleotide unclassified non-coding RNA is filed under the name soil metagenome. RNAcentral's name for it is "partial contains 5.8S ribosomal RNA, internal transcribed spacer 2, and large subunit ribosomal RNA". The stretch from base 1 to 120 matches the Rfam family "5.8S ribosomal RNA", at positions 35 to 154 of the family's 154-position model. The record is from RNAcentral.
GAUGAAGAACGCAGCGAAAUGCGAUAAGUAAUGUGAAUUGCAGAAUUCAGUGAAUCAUCGAAUCUUUGAACGCACAUUGCGCCCCUUGGUAUUCCGAGGGGCAUGCCUGUUCGAGCGUCAUUAUAACCCCUCAAGCUCAGCUUGGUGUUGGGGCCUGCUGCACUGGCAGCCCUUAAAAUCAGUGGCGGCGCCAUCUGGCUCUAAGCGUAGUAAUUCUUCUCGCUAUGGAGUCCUGGUGGAUGCUUGCCAUCAACCCCCAAUUUUUCUAUGGUUGACCUCGGAUCAGGUAGGGAUACCCGCUGAGCUUAAGCAUAUCAAUAAGCGGAGGA